This 483-nucleotide ribosomal RNA is filed under the name uncultured bacterium. Its description in RNAcentral is "partial 16S ribosomal RNA". It matches the Rfam family "Bacterial small subunit ribosomal RNA", at positions 30 to 506 of the family's 1533-position model. The record is from RNAcentral.
AUUGAACGCUGGCGGCAGGCCUAACACAUGCAAGUCGAGCGGAUGAAGGGAGCUUGCUCCUGGAUUCAGCGGCGGACGGGUGAGUAAUGCCUAGGAAUCUGCCUGGUAGUGGGGGAUAACGUCCGGAAACGGGCGCUAAUACCGCAUACGUCCUGAGGGAGAAAGUGGGGGAUCUUCGGACCUCACGCUAUCAGAUGAGCCUAGGUCGGAUUAGCUAGUUGGUGGGGUAAAGGCCUACCAAGGCGACGAUCCGUAACUGGUCUGAGAGGAUGAUCAGUCACACUGGAACUGAGACACGGUCCAGACUCCUACGGGAGGCGGCAGUGGGGAAUAUUGGACAGUGGGCGAAAGCCUGAUCCAGCCAUGCCGCGUGUGUGAAGAAGGUCUUCGGAUUGUAAAGCACUUUAAGUUGGGAGGAAGGGCAGUAAGUUAAUACCUUGCUGUUUUGACGUUACCAACAGAAUAAGCACCGGCUAACUUCGU